GGAGGCGUCGCAUAGUGGUCUAGUGCGCACGCUUGGAAAGCGUGUAAUCCGCAAGGAUUCGAGAGUUCGAAUCUCUCCGCCUCCG
This 85-nucleotide transfer RNA is filed under the name Patescibacteria group bacterium. Its description in RNAcentral is "tRNA-Ser". It matches the Rfam family "tRNA". From Rfam's summary of the family: Transfer RNA (tRNA) molecules are approximately 80 nucleotides in length. Their secondary structure includes four short double-helical elements and three loops (D, anti-codon, and T loops). The record is from RNAcentral.